AGGAAAGUGUCGAUUGGGUUAAGACUGAUCUGUACAAAAGUGGCUUUUCUGUUGGACACAUUUCUAAAUACAAUGGAGAAACAAUCCUGCACAUCAUUUUUGGAAAUGGAAGAGUUAGAGGCAGAACAGGAGGAACAAUCAUGAACAUCAUUAGUUGAAAUGGGAGAGUUAGAGGCAGAACAGGUAGGGAACAUAAUUUACAUCUAAGGUUAUAUAUCACAUAUCACCAUUACAUCACAACAGUCUGCUUGAAAUGAAUCUUUUAAAAAUUAAAAAAAAUCAAGGAGAAUAACCAUAUAAAGUUCAAAGACUAAUUCCAGUUAUUAGUCCCCUACCGGUUUAUAAAACGAAAGUCAAGUGGAUUUUAGGUUUCCUCUCUGUCCGUCUCUCUGUCAAUCAGUCUGUCCCAUUGGUUUUCCAGAUAUUUUUGCAUAAUGCUUGUGAGAAUUCAUUGAA
This is a long non-coding RNA of Ostrea edulis (European flat oyster), 456 nucleotides long. RefSeq lists it as uncharacterized. The transcript is spliced from 3 exons. Lineage: Eukaryota; Metazoa; Mollusca; Bivalvia; Ostreida; Ostreidae. The record is from RefSeq and is a predicted model, not a curated record.